RNAcentral lists this ribosomal RNA (230 nucleotides) under uncultured bacterium. RNAcentral describes it as "partial 16S ribosomal RNA". It matches the Rfam family "Bacterial small subunit ribosomal RNA", at positions 104 to 334 of the family's 1533-position model. The record is from RNAcentral.
GGGUGCGUAACACGUAUGCAACCUACCUUUAACCGGGACAUAACCUCGAGAAAUUGAAGCUAAUAUCCCAUGUGAUUACCCCUUGGCAUCAAGGGAUAAUUAAAAUUCAGAUGGUUAAAGAUGGGCAUGCGUCCCAUUAGCUAGUUGGUGAGGUAACGGCUCACCAAGGCCACGAUCAGUAGGGGAUCUGAGAGGACUACCCCCCACACGGAUACUGAGACACGGAUCCG